AAGCUGCACGUCAAUCAAUGACUGGGGUACUGAUCCUACUGUCAAGCAAUAAGCCAUCAGCUAUUUUUCAUCAUUUUUUAUAUAUAUAUGGCCAUCAAGGCGCAGUAUCUGCACAGACUAUAGCGCUCAGCUCAUAUUGGUAUUUAAUAGGCAUCCUCCGAUGAUCCAGUCACUGAAAUGCAAGAAUACAUCUUGGAUGAAGAGGAAGAAGCUGUUCUCACAACAGGAAGUCAGCUCGACACAACAGCGUGCUGCAUCUCAAGGCUUCCUCUUCCGCAUCACUGAGCCAGAUAAAAACACUGAAUUCAGACAGCGCCGACGCUGCCAUUUGCCCUCGCAACACACACACACACACACCUGCCAGGACGUAACGUGCAGAAGGAAGACGCGGCCGCUGCUGUCCCCACUGGAGCAGAGAGGACGCCAGCCUUUGAUGUUCCACUCAAAAUUAUUAAUUCCCUGCGUCAGGUUCUGUGUUUCAUCUACAUUUAAAGUCCAAAUCUCGAGUCUGAGCAAAGCUUCUGUUAUGCAAAUCAGCAGUUAAUGUGCAUGCUGGGUUUGCUGGGGUUGUUUAAUGUAUUAUUUUUUGAGAAAAUUAAUGACAUCUGCGUCAGUUGAUAUUGAUCUAAAAUCUAGAUAGAUGUUCCCUGCUGCGCGUCAGAUGAGCUUCAUGUCUUAGUGUGGCCUUCAAAUCACUAGGUUGAACGUCUGAGCACAUGACUCAAAAAUGAAAUGUUCUUUCAGAUUCUUUCAACAUUCACUCACCCUCAUGUUGUUCAAAACCCACAUCGUUUGACUUUCUUGUGUGGUACACAAAAUGAGAAGUUUAGCAAAAGUUCACGCUGCUCUUUUCCAUAAAACAUAAAGUCAUUGAUUCACAGUCUUUUCUUUUAAAGGUCAUAAAUCUCAUCACGCUUACAGUACAUUCAAAGCAUCAUAAUGUGUUGUGUUAAACCUGGGUAAACAUAUCUUGAAUAUCCAGGUUUGAAUAUGAAUGAGAUAUGAGAGAACAACUUAAAGGUUUACUCAGUAUGUUAUCAUUAUUAAAAUGUUUUACACAUGAAAAAACAAACAGCCUUUACUUUCAUAAAUUAUGUAUGUAAUCAUGUAUACCCUUGUGAAAAAACUUUAAAAAGAGUACUUAUUACACAAAUAAUAUACUUUAGAAGAACAACUGAAUGCAAUGUUAUCAGACACUUGCAUGUUAAUUCCAAUUAAAUAAAAAUUUAUUAUAGUUUACAUAUUAAAUGCUUUUAGAGUGAACUUUUGACCCACUCUUGAGUAGAACUUAAGUACAACUUUAUAGGUAAUUUCUUAAUUACUUCUAUCAUCUUUGAAAUAUGGUUAAAUGUGUACUGCUGAAUGUACUGACAAGCAUUUUACCAUAAAUUAUACUUGAAUGUCAUUUCUAUUGACAUUUGUACAUCAUGUAUUUGUGCUUUAUAGGUGCUUUAGUAAGUUAGCAUCAGCAAAAAUGUGUACUUCUUUAAACCAUGUCAAAAAAUUAUUAUAAAACAUAAUGAUUUAAAAUGUAUUUUAAGUUAAAACUUUUAAUUUGAAAUUAUUACAAAGUGACCUUUUUAAAAGUGUACUUAAGUGUGUUAUGAAACAUUGUCAUGAAAGUGUACUCUCUUUAAGUGCGCUUAAUAUUAAUAUUACAUAAUCUAAUAUAUUUAAUAUAUAACAUACUUUUAAAGUCUCCCUGUAGUCAAUUUUAUCCCUUAAAACUCAUUUUUGAUCAACAAAAUUACAUAUUAAAACUUUUUUUCCUGUGAAAAUAAAUGUCUUCAUGCCUUAAAAUAGCUUGAAUGUAACUCUACACCCUUGCCUCAUUUAGUAUACGCGAAUCAAUGAAUAUGCUAAUUAGCCCCGCCUCCACUCGCUCACACAAGCUCAGAGACCCACUUGGUCAACUUACUGAUGUAAAUGCUGCGCUAUUGUUUUUUUUUACUAACGUCGGACACAUAACGGUAAUUAAUAUGAUUAGCCUUUUGCUUGACUACGCUAUAAAACAGCUAAUAAUGUGUUGCUAAUGUUACACAAACCAUGUUCCCGUUCGCCAUCUCAGAGUCAGACAGCUGCCUUCUAGCAAUCAGUAUCCUUACAAACGCUUUGAACAACUCAGAACAUCAGUGGAGAAGCGCAUAUAGUUCAUCAUACACCCACUAUAUUGCUAAAUCUACACGAUUUUUCAUAUCAACAGAAAAAUAUACCAGGAUAACCUGGCUUCUCUUGUGACUCUCCUGCUUCAGAGCGGUAAUAGUUAAUAAUAUGCUAAAACUCGCCGGCAUGUUGACGUGAUUGGUUACAAGGUAGUUUGUGACGUCAGAAACACCAGCAAUUUCAAACUGUGUUUUUGUCUUUAAAUCACUGCAGUUUUAUGGAGAAAAUACUCAGCAAUGGUGUUGACUUAUGUAUUUGCACAUGGUUUGUCUUAAAGCACAUUCAAAACACAUAAAGACAUAUAAACAACAUUAAAAACUUGAUUUUCACCACAGGGUUUCUUUAAGAUUUGAUGUAUACUACAAGUGCACAUUUAAUACAAUUAAGCACACUUCUUUUUCACAAGGGCACCCACAUGAGACAAAGACUCCAGUCAUAUAUCAGUAGCCUAAAAAAAAUACUGAUUAUUUGAAAUGAAGAAGCAGGUUCGCAGCACACCAGACAAACCUUAUCAGAAACCCCCUAUUAGAUAAUUUCACUCAAAGAAAUUAAUAUUGAAUAAAUUAAUCCUAUCUGUGUAUAUAUUGUGAAUGUCACAUUUCUACAAUUACAGCGGUAAUUGAAAAUAAGAAGCCAAUCUGAUUGGACUACAUUUAUAGUCAAUGUGUGUUAAUUGAGCUUUUUUGGUCAUUUGAAGCUUGACAGAGACUGAUCACUAAAUGAUUUCAUUGUAAUGCUAAAGAGCAGUCAGGACAUUUUGGUAAAUGUGUACUUUUGUGUUUCACAGGGAGAAAAAAUAAUAACAGCAUACAAAACGAGGACAGAAUUGUUAUUUUUGGAUUCUCUUUAACUUAAAAAAAGUUUUGGUUACACUUUAUUUUAAGGUGUCCUAUUUAAAUAAUUUUAUUUAUGCAUUUAUAUUUAAUGUUUGGUGCUUUUUAUUUGUGUUAAAUAACUUAGAGGUGUGUCAUGAAGUCAUUCUGAAGUGUCUGCUAGCAUUAAUCCCUCUCACCCUGAGGCUGCAGACAGCAACUGCACCAUAGCUGGAUGCUCACCUAAUUUGACUGAAAGCAACACUGUUCUCAGAACAGACUGAAUGAGUGUGCUUACUGAGCCACAGGAAGUGACCUCCAACAUCAGCGGCUGAAGUGCACUCAGUGUUUUACUGCAGGUCAUUCCAGAUGAUAUUUCCUGAUGAUAUUAAGGAUCUCCUCCCUUGAGUGGCACCAGACAAACCCCGCCCCAACCAGACUAAACCCCGCCCACAAACUCAUCUCAUCACAGCUGUGUGCUCACAUGGUUUUGAUUUCCCAUUAAAAUGUCUCAUUUCCAUACAAUAUCAAAGACCAAAAGAGACUCAAAAACUUGAAAAGACUCAAAAAAGACUGAAGGACUGGAAGCCAGCACAGUAAUUCACAUCAUAUGGAAAACACCAAUGAAUCAUUGCAAAUGAUCUUGCUUGAGUAUGAAAAUGUUUUUCUCCAGUCUUUGGUUUUGUCUGAAUUCUGAUGCCCUUCUGUGGAGAUGUUUUUAGUGUUGGGAAAAUAUUUUGAACAUGCUGUGUUAAUUUCAUUUGCUUGAUUUCAUCCCAGUAUCUGAAUUUAUGACUGACAAAAUAUAUUAGCUAAGCAUUUUGUUUUUUAAAACUUUUUUGUGGGAGAGACAUUGGUCUUUGAGUGAUUUUAUUGCCAAGUGUUGAGUUCUGCAACACAUUUAUUUUGCAUUAGACACUUUUUAACAAUUAUUUCCUCACUUAUAGAUACCAGAGGUUUCUGACCACAUAAAACACAACUUGCAAAAUUUGAAAGGUGAUAUGCGAGUGUUACAGUAUUUAAACGGAGAGCCACAUUAUUUACUGUGCGGUGACACUGUUACAGUUACUGUUAAUUUGUUUGCUGAAACAACGUGCCUUAAGCAGAAACAUGUGAGAGAAACGUUCUAAGAAAAUCAUGUCAGGAUAUUUAAGAAAAGUCAUACAUAACCUACAUCACCCAUAAUAUUGAAAACAGCAUGGUAGAUUGUAGAUGGCGCACAUGUUGGAUCAUGUUUGGAAUGGCAUACUACCAUACUAUUAUUACAGUUUCUGCAGUAUGUACACUAUGGUAAUUUCUGUGCAUAGAAAACCAGAUAACAAACAAUAUUUGCCAAAAUUUGCAGUAUGUAAAAAGAGCUUCAACCGGAAGUAAUCAAACUGCCAAAAGUUAGCACAUUAUGCUCUUACUAGUUCUGCCAUAGAAAGAUAUGGUAAAAGUAGUAUGAGUAGUAUACUAUUAUGCAGUUCGAAUUCAUUAAAUAUGUACAUAUUAAGACCUUGCAUUGCAACAACAAUGCAGCACACAAAUUGUUGGCAGUACAUAGUAUAUAGUUGACCCACAAUGCAUCAUUCCAAACAGAAUGGGAAGGCAAAUCUGUCUCUGAUUGGCUCAUCUGUGUCCAAUAAGUGGCAGUAAACCUCACUUCCUUUAAAGAUGACCUAAUGUAGAGUGACAUUCCUUUACCAGAGUCUCCUUUUUACUGUGUCCGUUAAUUUAAAUGAACGUGUUUACACACACCAUAUAUCCACAGGGCCUUGUGAAAUCCCCCUAACAAGAGCUCCAGUGUAUGGACUGAUCUACAGAUGAAGAAUGACAGUCUAUAUGGUUAUUUCUGAAAUCGAAGGCAGCUAAACAGGCAGUGUUUUCUGUAUGUAGGUACCUUGUAAGGAAACAUGCAGACAGGCUUCCAAGGCACAAUAACGUCCCUUUAAAUAUUCUAGAACAAGUUCAGAUGAGGUUACAAAGGAUAUAUUUAGUGACUACAAUGCUUGGUAGCAGUAGAAAGUUGAAUUCAUAAGCUGAAAAAAAAAGAAGGCAGGCUUU
Ctenopharyngodon idella (grass carp) is the source of this 5021-nucleotide long non-coding RNA. RefSeq lists it as uncharacterized. The transcript is spliced from 4 exons. The record is from RefSeq and is a predicted model, not a curated record. NCBI's taxonomy places the organism in Eukaryota, Metazoa, Chordata, Actinopteri, Cypriniformes, Xenocyprididae.